This 1539-nucleotide long non-coding RNA is filed under the name Pogona vitticeps (central bearded dragon). RNAcentral's name for it is "lncRNA (ENSPVIG00000023665.1)". The record is from RNAcentral. Lineage: Eukaryota; Metazoa; Chordata; Lepidosauria; Squamata; Agamidae.
UUAGGUAUGAAUCAGUUCAUUGAUUUGCCAUUCACUGCUCCCUUAUCUUCUAGAUGUGUUUGGGAGAUGCAAUCUUUUCCUAUUACUCAGCAACAUCUGCUCUUCUUAUUUGAAUCCUGCCUCUGCCAGAUGCCAAUAAUGAUUACAUCUAUAAUUCAGGAUGCUCACAUCUUCCAGUUCCACGUGGGAGAUCCUGAGGAUGGGAUCUCACAUGCCCAAGAUGGGAAACCCUACUCUGUUUUGUGAGUGGUCCCUGUGAUUAUUCAAAGUACAUCUACAGCACAAUCCCUUGGAUGUCCAUUCAGAAGUAACUCAUGUUGAAUUCAAAGGGAGUUCAUCCCAGGUAGCAGGGUUUAGGACUGCAGCUGCAAGUAUUAACAUAACGAUAAUGGUCUACGAUGUUGGCACUUCUUUUCCUUCUAACUUCUGUGUUUACAUUUUCUAUUGACACCUAUCUGCUGGUGCUGCAAUGCAUGUGGGUAUAAGGCUGAUGAUCUAAUAGAUGUGCCAUGUGAUCAGGAAUGUUAUGGAGCUUUAGCAAUGUCCAUAUGAUAGACAGGCAUGCCCUCUCAAUGGCAGACAAAUGGAUCUCACCAAAUUGGGGUUUCCUGCUGAGAAGAUUUGUCCUGUGCACAGACCACUCUCCUCUUCUAUGGCUAAAGACCAUUUGAGCAAACAGGAGCAAAUUAAUGAGAUGGGUGCUGAUCCUGCAAGGCUUCGACUUUGAGAUCCGCAGUGUAAAAGGGACUCAGAAUAUGGUUGCUGAUGCCUUGUCUCGAAGGCCAAAUGACUAAUGGGCGGAUAAAAAGUUUGUAAUAUUGUGUUAAAUGUUCUAUUUGUGUAAUGGUUACAGAUUAAAAUGCAGAGUUUGCUUGGAUGUUGAUGAACUGAGAGGUGUAUAGUGAUGGUAAAAAUAAUGGUGAGUGUCCUUAUUAAUGUAAAGUAAUAUGUAAUGUUAUUUGUAUUAAUGUAAGUAAUGCAAGAGGUUAAUAUGUCUUUGUUGAUGUAAGAGUAAUGUGAUAUAUCCUUAGUGAUGUAAAUAAUGCAAGAGGUUGAAAUUUGUAUUUUUUCAUAAAACUUCAUUUGUUUAUGAGGGCAAACCAUUAAGUUUUCCCCCAAGACAAACUUAUUAAGAGGGGAGGAAUGUGGCAUCUGCCCAGGUCAUGAUUAUUCAUAUGCUAUUUGCAUAGAAAACGGAACUGCUGGAGGGGCGGAGUCAUGAGGUAUAAGAGACUCAGUGGGAGGAGCAUAAGUUUUGAUAGGGACAGAGAUAUAAGGUUUUCGGGUGGAGUCACGAGGUAUAAGAGACUCAGUGGGAGGAGCAGGAGUUUUGAUAAGGUUUUAGAGAUAGAGAUAUAAGGUUUUGAGAUAGGGAGUUUGAGGGAGACUUGAAGGGUUUGGCGUUGUUUUGGAGUUUGAGUGGGAGAGUGGUGGUUGAGGGUGGAUAAAAAGAAUGUUUGUUUAAGAGUUAACAACAUUGCUUGUUCUGUCAACACCUGUAUCAAUAAACAAUUUCUAUUUGAUGGUUGUUGUGGGUUU